Molecule: ribosomal RNA, 403 nt
Filed under: uncultured bacterium
Lineage: Bacteria
Description: partial 16S ribosomal RNA
Rfam family: Bacterial small subunit ribosomal RNA
Source: RNAcentral
AUUGAACGCUGGCGGCAGGCCUAACACAUGCAAGUCGAGCGAGCGGCGGACGGGUGAGUAAUGUAUGGGGACUGCCCGAUAGAGGGGGAUAACUACUGGAAACGGUGGCUAAUACCGCAUACUAUCGGAUAACCCAUAUGGGAUUAGCUAGUAGGUGGGGUAAAGGCUCACCUAGGCGACGAUCUCUAGCUGGUCUGAGAGGAUGAUGAACCACACUGGGACUUAACCACGGCCCAGACUCCUACGGAGGCAGCAGUGGGAAACAUUGCACAAUGGGCGCAAGCCUGAUGCAGCCAUGCCGAGUGUAUGAAGAAGGCCUUAGGGUUGUAAGGUACUUUCGGUAGCGAGGCGUUAACUACAGAAGAAGCACCGGCUAACUCCGUGCCAGCAGCCGCGGUAAUUC